CCCCAGCAGCCGACAUUCUAGAAUCUAAAAAUGCUUCAGGAGAGCCAAGAAGAUCCCUAUACAAGAGUAUGAGGAAGAGAUUAACCUCAACUAUCUCAAGGAUUAGCAGGAAAACUGGUUCUGUAACUCGGACAUCAACUCUGGACGAAAGCAGCUACCUAAGUUUCUGGAGAAAUUGCUUAGGAAAAUAUCUUGACACGAAUGGAGUUGACUCAGAGGAUCUACUGGCAACCAGAUAUGGGCAUAUUGUGUUUGUGUGUGUGCGUGUUAUCUAUAAACCCCAGAAGCAUAUGUUGCACUUUAUCCAGCAAGUACAGUAGGUAGCACCCAGAUCCCAACGAAA
Ornithorhynchus anatinus (platypus) is the source of this 343-nucleotide long non-coding RNA. RefSeq lists it as uncharacterized. Lineage: Eukaryota; Metazoa; Chordata; Mammalia; Monotremata; Ornithorhynchidae. The record is from RefSeq and is a predicted model, not a curated record. The transcript has 2 exons.